UUCUUAUAUCGAGCGAUAGCUCUACGGAGAGGAAAGUCGGGACACACAGUUUUUAUAAACAAUCGUAGUGGGUAACACCCAUCGGGAGCAAUCCUAGAGUUGCGAACAGAGACGAGCUUAUUAAGUUAAGUUGAAACGGCAAAAUACUUACGAGUGUGCAAAGUUGUGCUCUGACGUUAUAGUCGGAGAGUGCUGCAAAUGAUACAAUUGGUAACAAUUGUACAAGACAAAUUGUCGCUGAUAACAGAAUCCCGCUUAUAGAUAUAAGAGCAAA
Molecule: RNase P RNA, 274 nt
Filed under: Parcubacteria group bacterium
Lineage: Bacteria
Also listed under: 1 other name
Description: RNase P RNA component class A
Rfam family: Bacterial RNase P class A
About the family: Ribonuclease P (RNase P) is a ubiquitous endoribonuclease, found in archaea, bacteria and eukarya as well as chloroplasts and mitochondria. Its best characterised activity is the generation of mature 5'-ends of tRNAs by cleaving the 5'-leader elements of precursor-tRNAs. Cellular RNase Ps are ribonucleoproteins.
Source: RNAcentral